AGUUUUUGUAUUGGAAGGGCUCG
RNAcentral lists this non-coding RNA (23 nucleotides) under Cricetulus griseus (Chinese hamster). The record is from RNAcentral. Lineage: Eukaryota; Metazoa; Chordata; Mammalia; Rodentia; Cricetidae.